CUUCCCUUUCACCCUAACACACUUUCUAUCCCCAGGACCAUUAAUGACAACUUUUCUCUUCCUACAGACUGAUCCCUCCUCUGGGGCCCUCUUUUCUGACCGCCCCUUCAUCUCAUAUCGCCGACAAAACAUUUUCUCAUACUUUUUAUUCUUUAAAUGCAGUAUGAUAGCACAGCAUUAGGUCAUAAAAGGUUAAAGGUCUCUUCAACGCUGAAGGCCUUCCUGCUUGAAAUAAAUAUAUAAACUAAAUCACGUCCGCGUAAAAGAUUAUGUCGCUGAAACACCCUCUACGUUUUGCAUUCUGUGUGUAGUUGCGAGAGGAUUCCUAAGCCUUGAAUACAACUGUUCUGCUCAACAGUGUCUCAGAACAGCCGCAGUGGAGGUCCGCGAACAUGAAAUCUGCGCUUUUUAUCUGUUUGCUGGGCAUCGCAAUAACCUUGGCUUUUGGUGCUUCCGCCACCGAUGGGAGAUCAAAAAAGAGAAGACUGCCUGGAGCCAGGAUACCACUAGAGAACAGUGGGGGCCUUGCAGAGGCUGUACUGGACAGUAUUCAGGCUCAGAAUGUGCAGGAGCAGUUACAUCAUACCAAACGUUGGUGUAGAGGAUGUACCUAUCCUUUGGAAGGUGAUGGUAACCAAGCAGAAAUGGUGCAGAAGAGAAUCGAGAAAGUCCAAAAAGAGGAAUCUGCUCAAACGGUGACUCCAGACGUACAGGACGCAGACAGUAAGCAGAGAAGGAAGAGAGAAACGGGUACCCCAUCCCUGCUGCCCAGCCCCUCAAACCCCCCGGACUCCCGUGAUGCCCAGAAGAAAGGGAGAGGGAAGCUAAAGGAGAGGGCAAAGGGGUGGAAAACACUGCGUGGAGACAGGGUACCACUAGAGAACAGCAGGGGCCUUGCAGAGACAGUACUGGAAAUGAUUCAGGCUCGGAAACAGCAGCAGCAGGUGACCCCAGACGCACCAGACACAGACAGUAAGCAGAGAAGGAAGAGAGAAACGAAGAGAAAACCGAACACUACCAGCAUUUAUCAUCCAUUCUCUGGCACCGGAGACCAAGCCUCAGCAGUGCAACAAAGACUCAACAGUAAGCUUCAGAAGCAGAAUGAAAACCUCCCCGCUGACACUCAGAACCGUAAGAGGAGGGCAAUCCAGCCCCUGACAAAGAAGCCCCCCAGGCCAUGUCCUGGCUGCUUUGCUGUCAUAGGUGAUGCUAAUAGGAACCUGGAUCAGCAGGGCUAGUAAUU
Molecule: long non-coding RNA, 1243 nt
Filed under: Lepisosteus oculatus (spotted gar)
Lineage: Eukaryota; Metazoa; Chordata; Actinopteri; Semionotiformes; Lepisosteidae
Description: lncRNA (ENSLOCG00000021881.1)
Source: RNAcentral